RNAcentral lists this ribosomal RNA (513 nucleotides) under Staphylococcus equorum subsp. equorum. Its description in RNAcentral is "bacterial SSU rRNA". It matches the Rfam family "Bacterial small subunit ribosomal RNA", at positions 18 to 513 of the family's 1533-position model. The record is from RNAcentral. Lineage: Bacteria; Bacillati; Bacillota; Bacilli; Caryophanales; Staphylococcaceae.
CCUGGCUCAGGAUGAACGCUGGCGGCGUGCCUAAUACAUGCAAGUCGAGCGAACGGAUAAGGAGCUUGCUCCUUUGAAGUUAGCGGCGGACGGGUGAGUAACACGUGGGUAACCUACCUAUAAGACUGGAAUAACUUCGGGAAACCGGAGCUAAUGCCGGAUAACAUUUGGAACCGCAUGGUUCUAAAGUAAAAGAUGGUUUUGCUAUCACUUAUAGAUGGACCCGCGCCGUAUUAGCUAGUUGGUAAGGUAACGGCUUACCAAGGCAACGAUACGUAGCCGACCUGAGAGGGUGAUCGGCCACACUGGAACUGAGACACGGUCCAGACUCCUACGGGAGGCAGCAGUAGGGAAUCUUCCGCAAUGGACGAAAGUCUGACGGAGCAACGCCGCGUGAGUGAUGAAGGUUUUCGGAUCGUAAAACUCUGUUAUUAGGGAAGAACAAAUGUGUAAGUAACUGUGCACAUCUUGACGGUACCUAAUCAGAAAGCCACGGCUAACUACGUGCCAGAG